UGACAUAGUUGUGAAAAGGGUUCCAAUGGCAGCGUGUGCCGCAAUGCUGUAGAUACGACAUAAAAGCUUCCUGUUUUGUUUACGCGCCCCGAUGAUACGAUGAUGACGGCACGUUUGUGUAGCUGUACGCUAAGAAGAAAAUAUUAAACUUUUAUGGCAGUCGUUAUUUUUUUUUAGUUAUUUUCUUAUGUUUUGGCCAGACGAUAGCGGCAAACGUGCCGUUUCGCGUUCUUCACCCUUUAGCACCACAACAAUGGGUGCCGGCGAGGCCGGCAUAGGCGGCAAACCGGCUUCAAGAAAAGUGUUUAUGCGGUGGCAUUAUUUCGUAUUUGCGUACAAAUAUUACACGCAAGGAAUGUAAAGAAAAAAGUUAAUUUUCCAUGAAAUUUAACACCUCCACAAAUUUUUAAUGUUAAAAAUCAAUUCGCUUCAAAAUACCACAUCACUUAAAAAUGUUCGUAAUGUAAACAAAGUUAUCUCGAAAUUGAAAGCACCGAGCGCACCAAGGUGAUGGACGUCCGACAAUCGGACAAACGUUACAAAACCGCACAAUGACGCGCCGAAGAAUAGAAGAUAUGCGAAGAUCGGCGGAAUCGACAACGGCGAGCUGAGCGAGAGAUUGAGUUGUGCUGCAAUCGGGAGCGUCGCAACGUUGGAUCUGUAUAUAAAACAGAAUUGUCCGGGAGUCCGUCACAUUCCGGCCGACGGGACGUUGUUUACAGCCACAUUAUAGCCGGCACGAUCGCGCAUUUAUCCUGCGUCCGCGAGACGCACUCUUCUGACCGCAUGUAAAUUCGCCUCUUGUAUUAUUCAGAAUCGCUAAGCAGAGCAGAGAAACACAUCGCAUUGUGUACCCGAUGUCGGAAACGUCACAGAAUUAAUUUGGAAUUCAAAAUUUGUCAAAACAGACGCCUCGACACCAGUCAAGAUUUACAUGCACUGCUGGUAUGGUAAACGGCGCUCAAACAGGUAAAAAGGUAUACGCAUACGGAUGGACGGCACAGGCAGGCACUCCCGCGCGCCAUAGUAAAUAAUUUAUAAUAUGCCUACACCAUUAAAACACGCGGGCAAAAGCAAUUUGCAAUUUGGUAUUGGAUGCAAAUUUGCAGCGCGGCAGGGUCGCCGCUGCCGCCAAGGUGAGUCAGCAAUUCAUCUUGUGCGCGCGCCGAGGCGCAGAGUUCCGCUAGUCUUCUUCGUCUGCACAAAUCUCAGAUGAAAUGCGAAACCUGCCGAGACAAGCGGACGUGAAUGGUAAUAAAGAGACAACCAUUAAAUUAAAUUAGACUGUUGGUAGUAAAAUACUAAAAUUAUUUCAAAAUCAAACAAUUGUUAAAAGCACUCAGUUUUUAAAGUUUAAGGCAACUCCAGUUAAUGGUAAUAUCUGGUAUGAAAUGUAUUGAUACUUGAGUUGUCUAAAUCCGAGAUGAUUACCUUUAAGAACUCGGACAUGUGUUACGUCUAACGUUUCACCAAGAAUGUAAAUCCACGCAAAGCCAACAAGACACAAUCAAUCGAACAGAGUGCAUAAGUCGGUCGUAUUCCAAGGCUGAGCGACGCUCAAUACAAUUUCGUAAUGUAACGUUUUCGAGAUUGUCAUGUACGUCAGGGCUUAAAUCGACCGAUCGCUCGGAUUAUGCAGUUCAUCAAGAUGUCAGUCAAUCGUACAAGAGAUUUUCGAGAUUUCACCGCAACCAAAGCACUCAACCUCUUUGGUGCGCGCGCUCGCGAAGAGUGUGUAGGUAAAUACACACAUGUGUAUGACUACACAACAUACCGGCGUACAUCGGCCUUUUCUCUAACAUCGCCUUGUUUGAACUAAAUAUGGAAAUAAAUUGCGCGUCGGCAUAUGCUCCACGGCGCUGUGCACACAGAGGAAAAACGUACGAGUUAUGGAAUAAAAUGUGCGCGGAUGUGUUUGGAGA
Dalotia coriaria is the source of this 1922-nucleotide long non-coding RNA. RefSeq lists it as uncharacterized. The record is from RefSeq and is a predicted model, not a curated record. Lineage: Eukaryota; Metazoa; Arthropoda; Insecta; Coleoptera; Staphylinidae. The transcript has 3 exons.